AGCCAUGAACCGUGAGGAAAAUGUCUCCCCUUGCGGAUCGGCGAUAAAAAAAAUGACAAAGGAG
Molecule: non-coding RNA, 64 nt
Filed under: unclassified sequences
Description: L20-Deltaproteobacteria ribosomal protein leader
Rfam family: L20-Deltaproteobacteria ribosomal protein leader
Source: RNAcentral